GCGAACGGACCUCCUCUCAUCAAUUCUUUUUCUACUUUGAAAACAUAAUACGACUGGGAUAAAUUAAACGUUCCAACAAAAGCGAAUUAAUGGAAAUAAAUCGAGUUCGGCUAGUCUGGAGAUUAAUGACUAUUUACUUUGGGCCAGAACAGUCAAGUGUUUAACUUGGAGGACCUUGACGGGCCGUGGCAGUAUAACAUUAGUUUGGCCGUUCGAGAUGGGAAGGAUCACUAUUCGUCAGAAGUUCGUUGGUGCAGUUUCAUGAUUCUCACACUUACGUACAUAUCAGCAAGAUGAAGAUUUUAUUUUUUAUCGUUCUAGCGAUAUCGCUUCAAUUCGUUCUGAUGGGAGUUGAAUGCCAAAAAAAAUUCAAUGUGUCGGAUAACAAGGAUCAUGUUGUGAUGAACGUUAGGGACGCCCCUCUGAGAUGUCCCGAAGGCACAGUGAUGACUUUCAAUAACCAAUGCAUCGAACCCUUUUGAAGUUGACAAACGUACACUAGGUUUGAGGGCUGCAACAACUAGUACUGUGAUGGUUCAGCCGAAACUUAUGAAUCUACUGAUUCGCUAGAUGGAAUAUAUUUUUGUAUGAGAAUAAACGUUACAUCGAA
Long non-coding RNA from Coccinella septempunctata (seven-spotted ladybird), 610 nucleotides. RefSeq lists it as uncharacterized. The transcript has 2 exons. NCBI's taxonomy places the organism in Eukaryota, Metazoa, Arthropoda, Insecta, Coleoptera, Coccinellidae. The record is from RefSeq and is a predicted model, not a curated record.